RNAcentral lists this long non-coding RNA (587 nucleotides) under Mytilus galloprovincialis (Mediterranean mussel). Lineage: Eukaryota; Metazoa; Mollusca; Bivalvia; Mytilida; Mytilidae. The record is from RNAcentral.
UUGUUGUAACCAAAGUUAAUUCGAAGUACGCCAAAUUAUAUUGUCUUAUUUGUCACGACGGUGUUUCAAUUUGGCUAGUCAUAUCACCUCACUGUUUGUUUUUUUUCAAUUUAAAACUGAGGAAGUACCACACUUUUCUAUUAAAUUUAUUGCGAGAGCAACUUUUUUUUUUAAUUGAAGAAAUAGAGUAAUAUCAUCAGCUUGUUGGGAAAUUUAAUGAGUAUUGCUUUUACGUCUAUGUUCAUAUCUAGUUCUUUUAAGUUUUUGUGUUCCCCUUAUCUUGAUUGCGAUAACUUAUACAGCUAACACAAAUAUUGACGAUGAUAACAGAAACCAUUUUCUGAACCCACCUUAUAAAAUUAGUUUUAAAGCCAAUUUUUUUUAAAGUCUCAUACAUGAAGAGUCAAAUGCUUUUGUAAAAUCAAGUUGUUGUCCCAUAUAUUUUGAAAGUUUCCGAGUAAUCUAUAACAUCUUGUAUUUGUCGAAUAUUGAAAUAAAUUUUGCUAUUUUUGACAUGUCUUUUUUGGUCAGUAUGUAUGAUCUUUGGUAGCAGAGGUUUAAACCUUUGUGCUAAGGCAUAUUUUUUU